CCUACGGGGGGCAGCAGUGAGGAAUAUUGGUCAAUGGGCGUAAGCCUGAACCAGCCAAGUCGCGUGAGGGAUGACGGCUCUACGGAUUGUAAACCUCUUUUAUAAGGGAAUAAAGUGUGGGACGUGUACUGUUUUGUAUGUACCUUAUGAAUAAGGAUCGGCUAAUUCCGUGCCAGCAGCCGCGGUAAUACGGAGGAUCCGAGCGUUAUCCGGAUUUAUUGGGUUUAAAGGGUGCGUAGGCGGCAUUUUAAGUCAGCUGUGAAAGUUUGGGGCUCAACCAUAGAAUUGACGUUGAAACUGGGAGGCUUGAGUAUGUGUGAGGCAGGCGGAAUGCGUGGUGUAGCGGUGAAAGGCUUAGAUAUGACGCAGAACCCCGAUUGCGAAGGCAGCCUGCUAAACCGUGACUGACGCUGAUGCACGAAAGCGUGGGGAUCAAACAGGAUUAGAUACCCGUGUAGUC
Molecule: ribosomal RNA, 460 nt
Filed under: uncultured bacterium
Lineage: Bacteria
Description: partial 16S ribosomal RNA
Rfam family: Bacterial small subunit ribosomal RNA
Source: RNAcentral